Molecule: transfer RNA, 66 nt
Filed under: Gyrodactylus sp. FY-2015
Lineage: Eukaryota; Metazoa; Platyhelminthes; Monogenea; Gyrodactylidea; Gyrodactylidae
Description: tRNA-Thr
Source: RNAcentral
GCUUAUUUAGUUUAUAAAAAAUAUGGUUUUUGUAAUACCAAGAUAAUUAUUCUGUAGUAAUAAGCU